This is a non-coding RNA of Physcomitrium patens, 1882 nucleotides long. The record is from RefSeq and is a predicted model, not a curated record. Lineage: Eukaryota; Viridiplantae; Streptophyta; Bryopsida; Funariales; Funariaceae.
CGUUCUCGGAUUGUGAGGACGCCAACCUGCCAGAGGAUUCAUGAGACAUUCGAUCUAUUUCUGAGAGGCUUGCAUUCAAAGAAAGGAACCGCUCUCAAUUUCAACUGAUUCAACCAAGAUUGCUGAGAGAAGGGUCUUUGAAUUCUGUUUUCGCGGAUCGACUGAUGGCGAUGAGGAGUUAUUCAUUUUUCUGCAAUUUAGAAGACUGCCAGAAUCGUCUGGCAAGUGGGGAUGGGAUGGAUGUUACGCUUUGUUGAAUCCUCUCAAUUUGAACUAACGCAGUUGAAGUAGCUUUCAAGGAUUUAAUUGGUGAGGGAUUUAAGAAUUUUUGGAACCGUCAGUGACGAAGAUUUGAAGCUAUUGAUGAAUUCCAUGGGAUGCUUGAACUCACUCUGCUUUUGAGUUACAGCUUCGUUUUAGGGGUAGGGGGAUUGAGGUGGAGGAUGUGAAGUUGAACGCGCUGCCCAACACGCCACUGGAAACGAUUCACUUAUACCAGAAUCUGUCGCCGUUUCCUCUCAGAAUGGAGCCUCCUCUCAAGAAGGGCCAAGACGGUCCUUCUUUUCUUGCAUGGAAUGGCUCCCAUUUACGAUCUUCAUGCACUGAGGUCAUCCCUUUAGGAUAAAGAGCAGUCGACUGCAAAUCACUUGUGCAUCAUCCUAAUCUUUGUCUCUUAGAAUUUGCUCUCCAAAACACUGCAUUGCGAUUCUUUGUGACCUGUUUGCUCUAGUUUUUAUUUCGUUUAAUGCUCUUGCCUACACAUGCCGCCGAAAAGUUCACCGAAUAUACUGACCUGGAGGGUAGACAAAGCCUGCCAGGGCUGAUCCUGGUUCGAGCUUGGUCUUAGGUUUCUGCAGCAUGCACUGCCCCAUCGAACCUGCAAGUGAAGAUGAUUGGGAAACGCUAAACCUCAACACCGAGCAUUGUGAAGAGCCCUUCACAACUAGGCUUUUCGAGUGCCUUGCAAACUGGAUCUGGGGAUGGACAUUGAGCGACUUCGCCUUUGCUUCGGAGCGCUCUACGACACAGCUAGUGGUCUCCGAAGAGGUGUGCCCGCCACAAUUGUGUAUGUGAUUGUAGUGAGUGUGAGGUUUUCUUUGGAGAUUUUCUCUUUGUUUUUGCUUCUUGUUUGACUUGCUCAAUGAAUGUGUAUACUAUAUAUAGGGGAAUAUUAGAAAGACCCACCCAUUUAUUGAAUCCUCAUACCCUAUUAUAACCAUCAUUAGAUUACAAAAAAUGCAUAAUCUCCAAAAACCAUUAUUAGAAUCAUUGCCCUCAUCUUAACUCCCUUCAUUUCCAAUAGCUACUCCCUUCAUUCCUAGGUCCCAUUUUGACCUCCUUCAUUCCCUUCCUUUCCAAUCCAUACUCCCUUCAUUCCUAGGUUCCAUUUUGACCUCCUUCAUUCUCAACUCCAGCUCCGCUUCCUCUAUUUCCAAUCUAUGUAUUCAUGUUUUUUUUGUACAUUCAAAGACUAAAACAACUUGAUCUACAAACUCUACAAGCUACUUGGAAUUAGCCAACUUGUAGCUUCAAUACAACUUGAUUUACAAAUUCUACAGGCUACUUGGGAUUAGCCAACUUGUAGCUUCAAUAGAGUAAGUGUGUAUAGUGAAUGACACAUAAUAGCAGCAAACAAGAACCUAUUUGAUUUUUUAUCAAAUGUGAAGGUAACACUAAAGCUAAUUUUAGUUGUCAAAUGUUAUACAAGCACUACAGCUCUAGACAGAGAUAUAGCAAAGUCAAUCUUUGGCAUAACAAGUUUUUGCUAAAAAAUCCAAGGGGCGAUUGCCAAACUUAGAUCUCAUCUAUAUUAUUAAUAUAUUAGUUCAAUAGAAGUGUUUGAAUAUUUAUUUGGACAACAUUACAAGUGUACAAGAAUCAA